CUCCUACCCUCCACUUUCAGAGCUCUAGCCUGCAAGGGCCUCUGGUAUCCAUACCUGGCCAGCAAGACUUUAGAGUCCCAGGCCACCCCUAAGCAUUCCUUGGGGCCUGGCUCUCCAGGGCCAUGCAGCCCGCCUUCCUGUAGGCCUCAGGACACUUUUCCAGUGUUGCUGGGUAUACACUGGAUAAUCAUCACAGGCCCAAAUUUUGACUUGGUACCUUGGGAGGAACCAAUGUUUUCCCCUGUCGUCAUCAGCCUCCUGCCCCCCCAAUCACAGCAAACAGAAGUAUGCUACCGGCUCUAGAACACAUCAGCAAAGCUGGGCAUUGGUGGCACAUGAUUUUAAUGCCACCUCAGCACCUGGGAGGCAUGUGCCACCAACACCCAGCUGUGUGAAAGGGUUUUAAACUCAGCCCCUCACCGUCCCUGGGCAGAAUCUGCCCUGGCUUGUACCAAGGAGAUUGGGCAAGGUGAAGAGGCCAUUUUGUCUAUGAACCAUAAAACUAACAGAGUAUGGGUGGGCAAAUGGAUGGGUACAGUUUAGGGCUGGGCAUUCUUAGCCUAUCUAUCUAUGUCUUAGCUUGAGGUCUUGGACCAAUCACAAUCCUACCUUUUUUCUUCCUGAGGUCUUUGCAAGGUUGUUCGUCUUCCAGGAAUUCCCCAUCCCUGACCCUCAGCCUCCUUCUAUGCAGAGUGGAUUUCUUUUUUGUUUGUUUGAAACAGGAUCUGAAUUCUGAAUGUCUGGCCGGCAGCUCAGACAUUCUUCCUGCCUCAACCUCUUUACUGUUUUAUUUUUAUUUUGAGAGUGACAGAGACUCUCACCAUCUCACUGAUGCACUAGCUGAUCAGGAACUCAGUGUGUAGACCAGGCUGGUUUCACAAUCACAGAGAUCUUCCUGUCUCUGCCUCCUCAAUGCUGGGACUAACUCUGUGCCCCAGCACUCUAGCUAACAUUGAGAAGGCUGCACAGGGCAGAAAGAUCACAAGUUUAUGGGCUAUGUAGAGAGACCCCUUCCUAUAAAGGAGAGAAAGGAGAGAAAGGAGAGAGAGAGAGAGAGAGAGAGAGAGAGAGAGAGAGAGACAGAGAGACAGAGAGACAGAGACAGAGAGAAGAAAGGAGAAAAAUAUUUUAUUUGAUAAAAUAAAUAAGCCUUCCUCUACUUAGAAACAUAUGAGCCCUUCUGGCCAUCCAACUGUCAGCUUGGCCUAAGAGUCUCUCAGUUCCCCACUAUACAGUGGUUGAGAUGUUCUUUCUCCUCCAACAUCUGUUCUCUGUCAACCUAACUCCUGGAAUCUCCUUCCCAUUUUUAAAUUUUGGUUUGAGACAGUCUUUUGUUGUUGUUGUUGUUUUGGUUUUCCAGACAGGGUUUCUCUGUUUAACAACUCUGGCUUUCCUGGAAAUCACCAGGCUGGCCCCUGGAAUCUUUUAACUGAGAUCCACCUGCCUCUGCCUCCUGAGUGCUGGGAUUAAAGGUGUGUGCCAGGUUUGAGACAAGAGUCUUAUGUAGCCCAGGCUAGUGACUUGAAAUUGGGGCAGUCCUCCUACCUCUGUCUCCCAAGUGCUAGAGUCACCAAGUUACAAGACCCUCGUCAUCAUUCAAUGGCUCAGUGAAUCCAGGCUUGCUUCUGCCUCCUGUGCCACUCCUUAGAGGGGGGGUGAGGAGGUGAAGCUACACCAUAGGCUUUACCCACACAGCUUCUCAGAGAAGCUUGGAGCUGCAGUUGAGAAGGGUGUGCCAAUUAGAAUCUCUUGUGUUACAGUAACAGAAAAAGAACUGAGGAUGCUUGGUUUUAUAAUGAGAAGGGAAGGCACUGACUUGUGAAACUGAAGAGCCAAGAGAGAAUCCAAAAACUCUUUUCUCUGCUUUCC
RNAcentral lists this long non-coding RNA (1869 nucleotides) under Cricetulus griseus (Chinese hamster). RNAcentral's name for it is "lncRNA (ENSCGRG00015037972.1)". The record is from RNAcentral. Lineage: Eukaryota; Metazoa; Chordata; Mammalia; Rodentia; Cricetidae.